This is a small nuclear RNA of Cuculus canorus (common cuckoo), 104 nucleotides long. The record is from RefSeq and is a predicted model, not a curated record. NCBI's taxonomy places the organism in Eukaryota, Metazoa, Chordata, Aves, Cuculiformes, Cuculidae.
GUCACUUCAGCAGCACAUAUACUAAAAUUGGAAAGAUAGAGAGAAGGAUUCCACGGCCUCUGCACAAUGAUGACACUCAAAUUUAUGAAGUCUUCCAUAUAAUU